This 260-nucleotide unclassified non-coding RNA is filed under the name plant metagenome. Its description in RNAcentral is "partial contains small subunit ribosomal RNA, internal transcribed spacer 1, and 5.8S ribosomal RNA". The stretch from base 1 to 54 matches the Rfam family "Eukaryotic small subunit ribosomal RNA", at positions 1778 to 1831 of the family's 1831-position model. The record is from RNAcentral.
GGAGGUAAAAGUCGUAACAAGGUCUCCGUUGGUGAACCAGCGGAGGGAUCAUUACCGAGUUGUACCAACUCCCAAACCCCUGUGAACAUACCGCACGUUGCUUCGGCGGACCGCCCCGGCGCCCGACCCCCCCGGGGGGACGGCCCGGACCCAGGCGCCCGCCGGGGGACCCAAACUCUUGCCUUCGCCGCCGGCGGAAUCUCCCUCUGAGUAACCAAACAAAUGAAUCAAAACUUUCAACAACGGAUCUCUUGGUUCUG